This 324-nucleotide ribosomal RNA is filed under the name uncultured eukaryote. Its description in RNAcentral is "partial 18S ribosomal RNA". It matches the Rfam family "Eukaryotic small subunit ribosomal RNA", at positions 1470 to 1796 of the family's 1831-position model. The record is from RNAcentral.
CCCUUAGAUGUUCUGGGCCGCACGCGUGCUACACUGAUGCAUUCAACGAGUUUCUUCCUGGUCCGAGAGGAAUGGGUAACCUUUUGAAAGUGCAUCGUGAUAGGGAUAGACUAUUGCAAUUAUUGGUCUUCAGCGAGGAAUUCCUAGUAGACGUAGUUCAUCAGACUGCAUCGAUUACGUCCCUGCCCUUUGUACACACCGCCCGUCGCUCCUACCGAUUGAAUGCUCAGGUGAGCCAUUCGGACUUUCAUCAUGCUGGUUUCCAGUUUUGAUGAAGGAAAGUCUUGCGAACCUUAUCAUUUAGAGGAAGGAGAAGUCGUAACA